CCUACGGGAGGCAGCAGUGAGGAAUAUUGGUCAAUGGCCGGAAGGCUGAACCAGCCAAGCCGCGUGAGGGAGGAAGGCGCAGAGCGUCGCAGACCUCUUUUGCCGGGGGACAAAAGGCCGGACGGGUCCGGUUCUGAGUGUACCCGGAGAAAAAGCAUCGGCAAACCUCGUGCCAGCAGCCGCGGUAAUACGGGGGAUGCGAGCGUUAUCCGGAUUCAUUGGGUUAAAAGGGUGCGCAGGCGGGCCUUUAAGCUGACGGUGAAAUCGCGGGGCUCAACCCCGCCGAGCCGUCGGAACUGGGGGCCUUGAGUGCGGCGGAGGCAUGCGGAAUGCGCGGUGUAGCGGUGAAAUGCGUAGAUAUCGCGAAGAACACCGGUUGCGAAGGCAGCGUGCCGUGCCGCAACUGACGCUGAGGCACGAAAGCGCGGGGAUCGAACAGGAUUAGAUACCCCUGUAGUC
Molecule: ribosomal RNA, 459 nt
Filed under: uncultured bacterium
Lineage: Bacteria
Description: partial 16S ribosomal RNA
Rfam family: Bacterial small subunit ribosomal RNA
Source: RNAcentral